GAUGAAGAACGCAGUGAAAUGCGAUAAGUAAUGUGAAUUGCAGAAUUCAGUGAAUCAUCGAAUCUUGAACGCACCUUGCGCCCUUUGGCCAUUCCGAAGGGCAUGCCUGUUUGAGUAUCAUGAACACCUCAACUCUUUAUGGUUUUCCAUGAUGAGCUUGGACUCUGGGGGUUUUGCUGGCUCACAGUCGGCUCCUCUAAAAUGAAUCAGCUUACCAGUGUUUGGUGGGUAUCAUGGGUGUGAUAACUAUCUACGCUUGUGGUUUUUCCACCAGGUAACCUUCAGCAGUGGAGGUUCGCUGGAGCUCAUAGAUGUCUCUCCUCAGUGAGGACAGCCCUUUGAAUGUUUGAUCUCAAAUCAGGUAGGACUACCCGCUGAACUUAAGCAUAUCAAUAAGCGGAGGA
Molecule: unclassified non-coding RNA, 404 nt
Filed under: soil metagenome
Description: partial contains 5.8S ribosomal RNA, internal transcribed spacer 2, and large subunit ribosomal RNA
Rfam family: 5.8S ribosomal RNA (bases 1-120)
Source: RNAcentral